RNAcentral lists this ribosomal RNA (251 nucleotides) under uncultured Mycoplasma sp. RNAcentral's name for it is "partial 16S ribosomal RNA". It matches the Rfam family "Bacterial small subunit ribosomal RNA", at positions 524 to 774 of the family's 1533-position model. The record is from RNAcentral. Lineage: Bacteria; Bacillati; Mycoplasmatota; Mollicutes; Mycoplasmatales; Mycoplasmataceae.
UACAUAGGUCGCAAGCGUUAUCCGGAAUUAUUGGGCGUAAAGAGUUCGUAGGUUGUUUGUUAAGUCUGGAGUUAAAGCCCGAAGCUCAACUUCGGUUCGCUUUGGAUACUGGCAAACUGGAAUGACAAAGAGGUUAACGGAAUUUCUAGUGAAGCGGUGGAAUGCGUAGAUAUUAGAAAGAACACCAAUAGGCGAAGGCAGUUAACUGGUUGUUUAUUGACACUGAGGAACGAAAGCGUGGGGAGCAAACA